Molecule: long non-coding RNA, 811 nt
Filed under: Homo sapiens (human)
Lineage: Eukaryota; Metazoa; Chordata; Mammalia; Primates; Hominidae
Description: HSALNT0111826
Source: RNAcentral
GACAUCUCCCAGGUAAUAAGUCUACAGAUUACAAAUCAUUUUCAUAGAAGAUAUUUUUGUACAAGUUUUACAUGUAUUCAGGAGCGGGACGUUAAUCAAUCCCUGUUUCUAUUUUAAUAGGGGGGAUAAGGUAGGGGAGAGGGAGAAACAGUUUUGGAUAUAACUAUUUGGAAGGAGAGUAGACAUGAAGAGGGCAAACCCUAGCUUUUCAUUUUCUACAAUCAAUGGUUUUUUUUUCUUUAAAAAAAACAAAAACAAAAACCUUUCAGUCUUCAAUACUCUUUGAAAGCCCACUUCUUAGCUACUGGCCAAUCCACACCAAUUAUUUAAAUUCACUUGGUACACACCUUUGUCCACUGAGUAAAUUACAUUCAUUAUGCCCACUGCUGCAGCACGCAUAAACCAACACCCCUGCAUGGCUGAACAGGGCCUAAUCUAGGACUGAUGGGAGAAGGGCUUGCAAACCAAGAUCAAGGUGUCGUUUCUCUGCUCAUACUGUCUACCAAGUUGAUCCCUACAAAAAUGCACAUAAAAGCAGGCAAGUUUAGCUACUGUGUUGCAAGAGAAACCAGGACCUUGUUAAGUAGUUCUCUCCAUUACCAUUUAUUCUCUCAAGGGAAGCUUUAAGAAAUAAUAAUAAAGAAAAACAACACAUUGGUCUGGCCACCUCAUGAAUCCAACUAGCAUUGGUGUGGCAUUUCAGUGGAGAAGGAAACUUGGGGGGAAAAAACCCAUCAAGGUUGUCAGAAAGGCUCCCAAUUUAACUGUCCCUGUCCCUAUUUAUCCACCUUCCAAGACCAUCCAUUAUUCU